GCUUCCUGCUGUGUUUGGAGAGCCCUUCCAACCUUGGUGAGUUGACACCCCCUGCCCCCAACAGACUCUCACUUUCCUGCUUAAACACCCAGGGAUCGAACCUGCAUCCUCAUGGAUGCUAGUCAGAUUCAUUUACCACUGAGCCAUAACAGGAACUCCUUCCUGCCCAAUUUAAUUCCCCUGAUAAGGUGCUUUCAAGACCACCUCUGGGGCUCUUCCACUCGGGUCAGCUACUUCAGCUACUUGCUAGAAUUUUUAUUCAUCUGAGGAAGCUGAUCCUGCCUGGGGUCUAACUCCGUCUCUUCCCCAGUCUUGAGAACCACCUGCCACCUCCUUUUGUCCUUGCCUCCUUUUUUCCCCCCUUUUUUGGCCGCACACGCAGCAUGUGGAAGUUCCCAGGACAGGGAUGGCACCUGCACCACAGCAGUCGAACAAAACGCUCUGCACCACAAGGGAACUCUAAAGAACUCUAGUUUUUCUUUCUUUUUUCUUUUCAUGUCCACACCUAUGGCAUAUGGAAGUUCCCAGGCUAGGGACUGAAUCAGAGCUACUGCUGCCGGCCUGCGCCACAGCCACAGCAACACCGGAUCCAAGCCUCAUUUGCAAACCGGCAUCCUCACAGACACUCUGUCAGGUUCUUAAUCUGCUGAGCCAUAAUGGGAGCUCCUAAGGAACAGUUUUUCAAUGAGCGGAACUGAGCAGACUGUCUGGUUCUGAGCAAGACAACUGAUAUCCAUGGGUCCACCCAUUAAGUGGAAAGAUCCUAGAGUUCCCAUUGUGGCUCAGUGGGAACCCGACUAGCAUCCAUGAGGAUGUGGGUUCGAUCCCUGGCCUCACUCAGUGGGUUAAGGAUGCAGCAUUGUCAUGAGUUGUGAUGUAGCUUGCAGACUUGGCUAGGAUUCUCCGUUGCUGUGGCAGUGGUAUAGGCCGGCGGCUGUAGCUCUGAUUUGACCCCUAGCCUGGGAACUUCCUUAUGCCUCAAGUGCAACCCUAAAAAGACCAAAAAAAAAAAAAAAAA
This 1018-nucleotide long non-coding RNA is filed under the name Sus scrofa (pig). Its description in RNAcentral is "lncRNA (ENSSSCG00025053697.1)". The record is from RNAcentral. Lineage: Eukaryota; Metazoa; Chordata; Mammalia; Artiodactyla; Suidae.